RNAcentral lists this small RNA (169 nucleotides) under Tepidanaerobacter syntrophicus. Its description in RNAcentral is "Magnesium sequence". It matches the Rfam family "M-box riboswitch aptamer (ykoK leader)". Rfam says of the family: M-box riboswitch, also know as ykoK leader is described as a metaloregulatory RNA that sense divalent metals and function as a genetic control element of genes related to divalent metal transport in bacteria. It was first reported upstream of the B.subtilis ykoK gene and genes with related functions in other bacteria. Lineage: Bacteria; Bacillati; Bacillota; Clostridia; Thermosediminibacterales; Tepidanaerobacteraceae. The record is from Rfam by way of RNAcentral.
CUAACUUCCCGUUAGGUGAGGCUCCUGUGCGAAUACAGGCCACUGCCCGGAAAUGUCGAGAGACACCAAUGGGUUAGCAGGUUUUGCCGGAUUAAGGUAAAAUCUAAUGUGGCUGGAACAAGAUUCCAAAGUCGCACAGUGCUAAAACCGAUGACGAGGGGAAAGUAUU